UAUAAUAUUUUAACUCUUCAUCUUAUUUAAAUUUUUUUUAUGAUUCAUAUUUUUAUUCUUACUAGAUAAUAAAAUAUAAAUAAUACUUUAUACGUGACUAAUUUUUUUUAGUUUUUUAUAAAUUUUUUAAAUAAGACGAAUGGUUAAACAUUAGACAUGGAAA
This 163-nucleotide microRNA precursor is filed under the name Oryza brachyantha (malo sina). RNAcentral's name for it is "MIR812 microRNA precursor family". It matches the Rfam family "MIR812 microRNA precursor family", at positions 27 to 187 of the family's 205-position model. The record is from Rfam by way of RNAcentral. Lineage: Eukaryota; Viridiplantae; Streptophyta; Magnoliopsida; Poales; Poaceae.